RNAcentral lists this ribosomal RNA (432 nucleotides) under uncultured bacterium. Its description in RNAcentral is "partial 16S ribosomal RNA". It matches the Rfam family "Bacterial small subunit ribosomal RNA", at positions 29 to 507 of the family's 1533-position model. The record is from RNAcentral.
ACGAACGCUGGCGGCAUGCCUAACCCCUGCCAGUCGAACGAGACCUUCGGGUCUAGUGGCGCCCGGGUGCGUAACGCGUGGGAACCUGCCCUUAGGUUCGGAAUAACUCCCCGAAAGGGGUGCUAAUACCGGAUAAUGUCUUCGGACCAAAGAUUUAUCGCCUUUGGAUGGGCCCGCGUUGGAUUAGCUAGUUGGUAGGGUAAAAGCCUACCAAGGCGACGAUCCAUAGCUGGUCUGAGAGGAUGAUCAGCCACACUGGGACUGAGACACGGCCCAGACUCCUACGGGAGGCAGCAGUGGGGAAUAUUGGACAAUGGGCGAAAGCCUGAUCCAGCAAUGCCGCGUGAGUGAUGAAGGCCUUAGGGUUGUAAAGCUCUUUUACCCGGGAUGAUAAUGACAGUACCGGGAGAAUAAGCUCCGGCUAACUCCGUG